GAUGAAGAACGCAGCGAAAUGCGAUAAGUAAUGCGAAUUGCAGAAUUUCCGUGAGUCAUCGAAUCUUUGAACGCACAUUGCGCCCCCUGGUAUUCCGGGGGGCAUGCCUGUUCGAGCGUCAUUUCACCACUCAAGCCUCGCUUGGUAUUGGGCAACGCGGUCCGCCGCGUGCCUCAAAUCGACCGGCUGGGUCUUCUGUCCCCUAAGCGUUGUGGAAACUAUUCGCUAAAGGGUGCUCGGGAGGCUACGCCGUAAAACAAACCCAUUUCUAAGGUUGACCUCGGAUCAGGUAGGGAUACCCGCUGAACUUAAGCAUAUCAAUAAGCGGAGGA
RNAcentral lists this unclassified non-coding RNA (332 nucleotides) under soil metagenome. RNAcentral describes it as "partial contains 5.8S ribosomal RNA, internal transcribed spacer 2, and large subunit ribosomal RNA". The stretch from base 1 to 121 matches the Rfam family "5.8S ribosomal RNA", at positions 35 to 154 of the family's 154-position model. The record is from RNAcentral.